CCUACGGGAGGCAGCAGUGGGGAAUAUUGGACAAUGGGCGCAAGCCUGACCCAGCAACGCCGCGUGAAGGAAGAAGGCUUUCGGGUUGUAAACUUCUUUUCUGAGGGACGAAGAAAGUGACGGUACCUCAGGAAUAAGCCACGGCUAACUACGUGCCAGCAGCCGCGGUAAUACGUAGGUGGCAAGCGUUAUCCGGAUUUAUUGGGUGUAAAGUGCGUGUAGGCGGGAAAGCAAGUCAGAUGUGAAAACUCAGGGCUCAACCCUGAGCCUGCAUUUGAAACUGUUUUUCGUGAGUGCUGGGGAGGCAAUCGGAAUUCCGUGUGUAGCGGUGAAAUGCGUAGAGAUACGGAGGAACACCAGUGGCGAAGGCGGAUGGCUGGACAGUAACUGACGCUGAGGCACGAAGGCCAGGGGAGCGAAAGGGAUUAGAUACCCGAGUAGUC
This 443-nucleotide ribosomal RNA is filed under the name uncultured bacterium. RNAcentral describes it as "partial 16S ribosomal RNA". It matches the Rfam family "Bacterial small subunit ribosomal RNA", at positions 338 to 795 of the family's 1533-position model. The record is from RNAcentral.